This 434-nucleotide ribosomal RNA is filed under the name uncultured Lachnospiraceae bacterium. Its description in RNAcentral is "bacterial SSU rRNA". It matches the Rfam family "Bacterial small subunit ribosomal RNA", at positions 341 to 792 of the family's 1533-position model. Lineage: Bacteria; Bacillati; Bacillota; Clostridia; Lachnospirales; Lachnospiraceae. The record is from RNAcentral.
ACGGAAGGCAGCAGUAGGGAAUAUUGCACAAUGGGGGAAACCCUGAUGCAGCGACGCCGCGUGAGUGAUGAAGUAUUUCGGUACGUAAAGCUCUAUCAGCAGGGAAGAUAAUGACCGUACCUGACUAAGAAGCCCCGGCUAACUACGUGCCAGCAGCCGCGGUAAUACGUAGGGGGCAAGCGUUAUCCGGAUUUACUGGGUGUAAAGGGAGUGUAGGUGGUCUGGCAAGUCAGAUGUGAAAGCCCGCGGCUCAACCGCGGGACUGCAUUUGAAACUGUCAGACUGGAGUGCAGGAGAGGAAAGUGGAAUUCCUAGUGUAGCGGUGAAAUGCGUAGAUAUUAGGAGGAACACCGGUGGCGAAGGCGACUUUCUGGACGAUAACUGACGUUGAUGCACGAAAGUGUGGGGAGCAAACAGGAUUAGAUACCCUGGUA